This 619-nucleotide ribosomal RNA is filed under the name Stutzerimonas zhaodongensis. RNAcentral describes it as "bacterial SSU rRNA". It matches the Rfam family "Bacterial small subunit ribosomal RNA", at positions 56 to 671 of the family's 1533-position model. The record is from RNAcentral. Lineage: Bacteria; Pseudomonadati; Pseudomonadota; Gammaproteobacteria; Pseudomonadales; Pseudomonadaceae.
UGCAAGUCGAGCGGAUGAGUGGAGCUUGCUCAUGAUUCAGCGGCGGACGGGUGAGUAAUGCCUAGGAAUCUGCCUGGUAGUGGGGGACAACGUUUCGAAAGGAACGCUAAUACCGCAUACGUCCUACGGGAGAAAGCAGGGGACCUUCGGGCCUUGCGCUAUCAGAUGAGCCUAGGUCGGAUUAGCUAGUUGGUGAGGUAAUGGCUCACCAAGGCGACGAUCCGUAACUGGUCUGAGAGGAUGAUCAGUCACACUGGAACUGAGACACGGUCCAGACUCCUACGGGAGGCAGCAGUGGGGAAUAUUGGACAAUGGGCGAAAGCCUGAUCCAGCCAUGCCGCGUGUGUGAAGAAGGUCUUCGGAUUGUAAAGCACUUUAAGUUGGGAGGAAGGGCAUUAACCUAAUAUGUUAGUGUUUUGACGUUACCGACAGAAUAAGCACCGGCUAACUUCGUGCCAGCAGCCGCGGUAAUACGAAGGGUGCAAGCGUUAAUCGGAAUUACUGGGCGUAAAGCGCGCGUAGGUGGUUUGCUAAGUUGAAUGUGAAAGCCCCGGGGCUCACCCUGGGAACUGCAUCCAAAACUGCGCAACCACAACAUGGCCAAGGUGGUGGAAUCUCC